This 253-nucleotide ribosomal RNA is filed under the name uncultured bacterium. Its description in RNAcentral is "partial 16S ribosomal RNA". It matches the Rfam family "Bacterial small subunit ribosomal RNA", at positions 524 to 776 of the family's 1533-position model. The record is from RNAcentral.
UACGUAGGGGGCAAGCGUUGUCCGGAUUCAUUGGGCGUAAAGAGCGUGUAGGCGGCCAGGUAGGUCGGUUGUGAAAACUGGAGGCUCAACCUUCAGAGGUCGACCGAAACCAUCUGGCUAGAGUCCGGGAGAGGAGGGUGGAAUUCCUGGUGUAGCGGUGAAAUGCGCAGAUAUCAGGAAGAACACCCGUGGCGAAAGCGGCUCUCUGGAACGGUACUGACGCUGAGACGCGAAAGCGUGGGGAGCGAACAGG